CGAUAAGUUCACGGUAACACUGAUAAGGUAAAUAAAUAUUUCGUAAAUAAAUAAAUUAAUAGAUCCGAUUUAUGUAAAUCUGGAGAGAUUCAAGUCCCUGCUACUGCUGAAGUGAACGCCGGAUUGUCCUCUCCCCGUGCGCUGCAGGCUGUGCUGCUUGGCGUGGUGGAGAUAGUGGGCGUAAAAGUGGGUCCAACUCCUGCUAAUAGAUACAAAAACACAGAUUUGUGACAACGAAUCCAAAGGCCAAACUGACCAAUCAGUCAAACAAAAAACCACGGAACAUGGGCAAACACAGAACUGCGCAGCAAGAUGCCAUAUUCAUCGCAUUUAUGGAGAGACACCCAAUGAUAGCCAAAAACUACCUCAAGGGUGAUAAGCUGGCAGCUGAAGCCGCCUGGAAGCGGCUUUCAAAGGAGUUAAAUAGCGUGGGUCCGCCUGUCAAAGAAGUUUGUGAGUGGAAAA
Long non-coding RNA from Drosophila miranda, 465 nucleotides. RefSeq lists it as uncharacterized. The record is from RefSeq and is a predicted model, not a curated record. The transcript has 2 exons. NCBI's taxonomy places the organism in Eukaryota, Metazoa, Arthropoda, Insecta, Diptera, Drosophilidae.